Hyla sarda is the source of this 71-nucleotide small nucleolar RNA. NCBI's taxonomy places the organism in Eukaryota, Metazoa, Chordata, Amphibia, Anura, Hylidae. The record is from RefSeq and is a predicted model, not a curated record.
CUUCCAGUGAUGAUAACAUUGUCCAGUUCUGCUACUGAAUGGAAAGUGAUGAUCACUGACAUCUGAGGAAG